AGAGAGAGACAUGCGCGCAUAUCAAUAAGCGGAGGAAAAGAAACUAACUAGGAUUCCCUCAGUAACGGCGAGUGAAGCGGGAAGAGCUCAAAUUUGAAAUCUUCAAGGUUCUACCUUGACGAAUUGUAGUUUAAAGAAGUGUUUUCUGUUGGAGUUUUGGUAAAAGUUCUUUGGAAUAGGACAUCAUAGAGGGUGAGAAUCCCGUAUUUGACCAUUAUUUUCCAGCUGUGUGAUACACUUUCAAAGAGUCGGAUUGUUUGGGAAUGCAGUCCAAAAUGGGUGGUAAAUUUCAUCUAAAGCUAAAUAUUGGCGAGAGACCGAUAGCGAACAAGUACCGUGAGGGAAAGAUGAAAAGAACUUUGAAAAGAGAGUUAAACAGUACGUGAAAUUGUCAAAAGGGAAGCGUUUGACACCAGUGUUGUUUUCUCGAAAAUCAAUUAAAAAAGGCAGGAUUUUGUGUUGUAUUGACUUUAUCAGCUUUCUGCACUCUUCUCUUGUCUUUUUUAAUGCACUUUUCGUUUAACAAGUCAACAUCAAUUUCUUUUGUUGUAAAAGGGUCAUUGGAAGGUGGCUUUCUUUUCGGAGAAAGUGUUUAUAGCCUUUGGCCUCUGCAAUCGGAGAGAUUGAGGUCUGCAGCGUAGAUCCUUCGGGGUUAGAUACAUUUGUGCUAAGUUAUAGCCUUUCAUAGACAACUUGUUGACUAUGAUCAGUCAUGUAGCUUACUCGCUUAUGCUAUUUUACCUACGCUUAGGAUGUUGAUGUGAUACUGCGAGCA
This 775-nucleotide ribosomal RNA is filed under the name uncultured Neocallimastigales. Its description in RNAcentral is "partial large subunit ribosomal RNA". It matches the Rfam family "Eukaryotic large subunit ribosomal RNA", at positions 23 to 646 of the family's 3401-position model. Lineage: Eukaryota; Fungi; Neocallimastigomycota; Neocallimastigomycetes; Neocallimastigales. The record is from RNAcentral.